UGAGGCGUGCCAUAGCAUUUCUCUGUCCAGGUGCUGUGCAAUCCCACUGGCUGCAAGCCGUAGCUCUAGGAGAGCUGACCUGGCAUCAGCAACCUUGAGUAGACAUGACUUCCUGAUGGCCACAAGCCACUUCAUUUCUCUUUUCUGAUCAACCACAUCACUGUAGAGGAUAUUUAGAUUUGUAACCACAGAGCCAGCCUCUGAUGGCUCUGUUGCUGUUGGGGAGAUACCUGAAGCACGUAUCGCUCUGCUUAAUUUCACUACACACAGAUUUAGCCCCAGUGGAUUUGCGUCACAGGAGAGACAGACACUAGCAACCAGCAUCUCUCUCUAUAGGUCAUGCAUGCACUCCUAAUCCUCCAUCAGCCUUCAGGGAAGAAGCUGCUGCUCCCUCUCUGAGCUCACACUUUUCUUUAUUACAUCAGGAGUUUCCCUAAUGUUCACUGUGGAGAGGCAGUGGCAUUUCCUACCUUCUUGCUCAUUGAUACCUCCUGAAAAGAUCUAGCUGUGACUUCUCCCACACACAGAUUUUAGAGGAGUUAGUAAAAUAAAAAGUUCAUGCAGAUGGGGAAACAGCCAGAAUUCAGCUGGCUUCAUCUUCACCACAAAAUAGACAUGGAGCAAAACUGAGACAGGUCUCAGCCUUAUGGCCAACCAUGGGAGAGAAGAGAGUGCUGCCUCACCCAGCUGGGGAGAGACAUCUCUCAGUGAUCUGCAUCAGCAAUACCACUAUUUCAGAAGCUCUGUGCAGAAUGAAACGACCUCUGCCAGCUGCAACAGAGGACAUUUUAAACUACAAAGGAAGAAGUGAGCUAACCCAAACCAAGAAAGGAGAGAAGGAAGUCCUAAACAGAAGAAGAGAAGGGACUGACACCACCACUACAAGAUAAGUCCUACCACUCCAUCUGACCCAUCACAGAGUGGAUCAGAAGAAGAACCCUUUCUGAACCUUAAUAAUUGGCACAGCACAGAAUUCCACCAAAAUUAUGAGACAGCUCCUUACCCUGCAUGAGUCAGCAGGAACGUACAGCUUUUUGUGGGGAGGAGGAACUGCUCCCACAAAUAUGCAAUAAAACGUACCUGUAUACUUUUGGUAGGCA
Numida meleagris (helmeted guineafowl) is the source of this 1100-nucleotide long non-coding RNA. Lineage: Eukaryota; Metazoa; Chordata; Aves; Galliformes; Numididae. The record is from Ensembl.